GCUAUGAGAUGGACCCGCGUCGCAUUAGCUAGUUGGUGAGGUAACGGCUCACCAAGGCGACGAUGCGUAGCCGACCUGAGAGGGUGAUCGGCCACAUUGGGACUGAGACACGGCCCAGACUCCUACGGGAGGCAGCAGUGGGGAAUAUUGCACAAUGGGGGAAACCCUGAUGCAGCAACGCCGCGUGAGUGAUGACGGCCUUCGGGUUGUAAAACUCUGUCUUUGGGGACGAUAAUGACGGUACCCUGUGAGGAAGCACCGGCUAACUAC
RNAcentral lists this ribosomal RNA (270 nucleotides) under uncultured bacterium. RNAcentral's name for it is "partial 16S ribosomal RNA". It matches the Rfam family "Bacterial small subunit ribosomal RNA", at positions 217 to 504 of the family's 1533-position model. The record is from RNAcentral.